This is a long non-coding RNA of Strongylocentrotus purpuratus (purple sea urchin), 310 nucleotides long. RefSeq lists it as uncharacterized. NCBI's taxonomy places the organism in Eukaryota, Metazoa, Echinodermata, Echinoidea, Camarodonta, Strongylocentrotidae. The record is from RefSeq and is a predicted model, not a curated record. The transcript is spliced from 2 exons.
CAUGUACACUACUGCCUAAAGGUUUUGGCAGCGGGCUGCGGGCGCGGGCAAGCUACUCGCGGGUCGCGUAUUUUUUUUGAGUGUCAAUUGCCAAAAAUGUGAGCAAGUUCGGGCAGAUUUCGGGCAGAUUUCGGGCAGAUUUCGGGCAGAUUUCGGGCAGAUUUCGGGCAGAUUUCGGGCAGAUUUCGGGCUGAUUUCGGGCAGAUUUCGGGCGCGACUCGAACAUCGGGCGCGACCCGAACAUCGUUUCUUCAGCUACGCGCUUCGGGCAUCGGGUCAGCCCGCUGCCAAAACCUUUAGGCAGUAGUGU